CCUCCCCGCCCCACCGCCACCAACCCCGCAUAUAUAACAUACUGGUCCAGCGUCCCUGUUUGCCCGAAUAACUUCCCCCAUCAAGUGCCUGCCAGUGUGUGCCACCCCCUGACACUCAUUACCUGAAUCUCACAACAACCCUGGCAGGCAAAGAUGCUGAUGGAUCUGAUGGAUCUGACCCAGUCUGAGGUCAUGGGUUGCCCAACCAGCCGUCCAGAGCCUGACUUGGCUUGAGAAGUGUCCAGACCAGGGCUGGGAGAAGUCAAGGGCUUGGCAAGCACCAGACAUGCCUGACCCCAACCACGAGGUCAUGCGAAGCUUGUGACCCAUAGGCCUGGCAUGCCUCAAGGAGACAGAGACUUCUGUUACUCUGUGUGCAAGGCUUUUUGCUCACAAAUCUUGGAAUCAGGGCCCAGAAUAGGGCUGGCCACCUCUCUGAGCUUGAGAUAAAGACAUGCGUGCAGCUGGCUGUGCAGAUUUCCCACAAGAGGUCGGGUUUGUUCAACAUGCUGCUUACAGCAAGGUGGGCAGUUCUCCAAAACAAGCCUGGAAGUGAAUGUUCCCGAACGCUCUGGAGUUUGGCUCAUUAGAAGUGUGUGGGUACCUCUGGGAACCUCUGGAGCCCUUCCUCUAUGGGGCCAGCACACCCAUCCUCCUAGAUGCUCCAGUUGUUGGUGUCUAAUGCCUUACUGUGUCUCCUCCUGAGCACUAUGACCUCAGAAGUCACCUCACCCAACAGGUUACCCUCCUCACCCACAGAGUGGUUCACAGCCAACGGACAGACGUCCAGACAUACAACAGGCCAGCCCCCUCACAGGACUUUAUGUGAGAGCACGACUUUGCUCGGUUCCUUCCUAGCCUGCGUUCCUCCUUCUCGUACAGUUUCCCCCAUUAAUAAAUCACAUGUACUUGG
Molecule: long non-coding RNA, 913 nt
Organism: Felis catus (domestic cat)
Lineage: Eukaryota; Metazoa; Chordata; Mammalia; Carnivora; Felidae
Exons: 3
Source: RefSeq, a predicted model, not a curated record